This 256-nucleotide ribosomal RNA is filed under the name uncultured bacterium. RNAcentral's name for it is "partial 16S ribosomal RNA". It matches the Rfam family "Bacterial small subunit ribosomal RNA", at positions 524 to 776 of the family's 1533-position model. The record is from RNAcentral.
UACGUAGGGUGCGAGCGUUAAUCGGAAUUACUGGGCGUAAAGCGUGCGCAGGCGGUCUGUUAAGACCGAUGUGAAAAUCCCCCGGGCUUAACCUGGGAACUGCAUUGGUGACUGGCAGGCUUUGAGUGUGGCAGAGGGAGGUAGAAUUCCACGUGUAGCAGUGAAAUGCGUAGAGAUGUGGAGGAAUACCGAUGGCGAAGGCAGCCUCCUGGGCCAACACUGACGCUGAAGCACGAAAGCGUGGGGAGCAAACAGG